UACAGAGGGGGCAAGCGUUGUCCGGAAUUAUUGGGCGUAAAGGGCUCGUAGGCGGUUUGUCGCGUCGGGAGUGAAAUCCACUGGCUUAACUGGUGGCUUGCUUUCGAUACGGGCAGACUGGAGGUAUGCAGGGGAGAACGGAAUUCCUGGUGUAGCGGUGAAAUGCGCAGAUAUCAGGAGGAACACCGGUGGCGAAGGCGGUUCUCUGGGCAUGUCCUGACGCUGAGGAGCGAAAGUGUGGGGAGCGAACAGG
Molecule: ribosomal RNA, 253 nt
Filed under: uncultured bacterium
Lineage: Bacteria
Description: partial 16S ribosomal RNA
Rfam family: Bacterial small subunit ribosomal RNA
Source: RNAcentral